Labrus bergylta (ballan wrasse) is the source of this 912-nucleotide non-coding RNA. Lineage: Eukaryota; Metazoa; Chordata; Actinopteri; Labriformes; Labridae. The record is from RefSeq and is a predicted model, not a curated record.
CUCAGUAGCUGCUGGCUUCCUGCUGCUGCUGCUGCUGCUGCUGCUGCUGCUGGUGGUGGUCUGUCUGGUCUGCAGGAGAAGAAAACGAGCAAAGCAGCCAACCCUUGUCCACAACAAAUUGGCUGUCAGAGUGGGAAAGUAUUGCAAAGAUGAUGAAGAUGAUUAUGUAAAUAUAAAUUCAAUGGAAACCAAGAAGAAUCUCAAAGAGGAAACAGUGGAUGAGGACAAUAUUUAUGAGGAACCAGAGCGAUUUGAUGAUCAUGAUUCUGAAGAAGUAGGCCUAAAUUCACGUUUGAGAAAGGACAAGGGGGUCUGUUUCAGUGAAGAUGAAAACAGAAAAGAGGAAGAAGAAACCAGUGAAGAAGAAGAUGACUAUGAAAAUAUUUGAAAACUGCAGACUGUAAUUACAGUUUAUGUCCAUAAGAUGUCAGACGCUGCUUACAUUCUAGAGAUGUGUGAAUACUCUCCUGACUGCACUGUACUCCAUGUGAAGUCAUUGGAACAAAGGAUUUCUUAAGGCAGGUAUUUUUAGUUUUCAUGUAAAAGAGAUACAUUAAUCAGUAUUAUGCACUUGUAUUUAACACUUUUCAAAGGGCACCUGAAAUAUUUUCAAACGUAAAGUAUAUUCCUCCUCACAACAAGCUAACAGAAUUUUAGUUUGUAUCCAUAGUGGACUGUAUCACUUUAUUAGAAAACACCCUUUAUAUUGAAUAUAUAGUUGUAAAAAAUGGUUAACAUUUUUUCAGCUUUAUUCUAUUUAAAGAAGAAAAAAAACUAAUUUCACUUAUUUGAAAUUGAGAGAUUAAAAAAACAUUUCUUGCACAGAUUCACUAAUUAAUAUUUGGUUCACUUAAUUGAAGGAGAAUCUUCACUCAUUUCUGACACAUCCCAUAAAGUAACCUAAGAACAUGA